AUUGAACGCUGGCGGCAGGCUUAACACAUGCAAGUCGAGCGAGCGGCGGACGGGUGAGUAAUGUAUGGGAAACUGCCCGAUGGAGGGGGAUAACUACUGGAAACGGUAGCUAAUACCGCCUACUAUCAGAUGAGCCCAGAUGGGAUUAGCUAGUAGGUGGGGUAAGGGCUCACCUAGGAGACGAUCCCUAGCUGGUCUGAGAGGAUGACCCGCCACACUGGGACUGCGACACGGUCCAGACUCCUACGUGAGGCAGCAGUGGGGAAUAUUGCACAAUGGGCGCAAGCCUGAUGCAGCCAUGCCGCGUGUGUGAAGAAGGCCUUAGGGUUGUAAAGCACUUUCAGCGAGGAGGCGUUACUCGCAGAAGAAGCACCGGCUAACUCCGUGCCAGCAGCCGCGGUAAUAC
Molecule: ribosomal RNA, 406 nt
Filed under: uncultured bacterium
Lineage: Bacteria
Description: partial 16S ribosomal RNA
Rfam family: Bacterial small subunit ribosomal RNA
Source: RNAcentral